This is a non-coding RNA of Pelodiscus sinensis (Chinese soft-shelled turtle), 2076 nucleotides long. The record is from RefSeq and is a predicted model, not a curated record. Lineage: Eukaryota; Metazoa; Chordata; Testudines; Trionychidae.
GCUGGCCCCCAACCGCCAGAGCAAUGAUUUAAAUGACAAAAAACAAAAAAUCAAUUGAGCAAAGGACCUAAGCAGCAGCGGGGGAAUCUUCUAGGGGAUUUAUAAUUUUAUUCUUUUUAAUCCUCCUCGCAUUUCCCAAGAGCACCAAGAAGCAGCACAUUGCAUGUGUUAGUCCUUCACUUGUGAACGGAAACUGUUUCUUGCUUUCAAAGAAACCCGAGUAGCCAGGCAAACGAAGGGGCAGCAGGAAAAUAUGUGAAUAACGUUGUGUUGCUUCACUUCCAGGCUGAAAACUCCUUGGCAUCUGCGACAGGAGGGCCUCCGAUCUGCCUUUUUGGACAUGUAUCCGCGCAGCUCUGAGGAGGAAGUAGGAACGAUCAAAUAUCAGUAUGUAUUACACAACAGAAACGGAAGUGAUCUGCAAUGCUUGUUUGUCUAGAGGAGUUCUUGCUGGAGGUUGCAAAAGGCUCGGAAAGGAUUCAAAUCGAAACCACAGUUAUGCUUCCAGAGGUUGGAGGGUACAUUUUCAGAGCUGGUGCCAGAUCCACUGGAAUGUGAAGUCCGCAGCUUAUCCGUGGAACAGCUACACUGCAAACGUUGUCAUGUUGUCUCCACAACGCUCUGCAGCUCUGCUGUGCAGGGACAGUUUCCAGAGAGUUGUCUAACUUCCAAGAUGGCUAGAAACAAUGCUGGCUCUGAUGAUCAUUGUGAACUGUGGACACCUGUAUGUCAGUAGCUCUGCGGAGAUCCACCAUACCUAUGCAGGGCAGACCCCAGACCACACCCAGGCAAGGAGUGUGCGUUUGUUUACUUAUUUUAAGAACGAAAAUGCUUUUGCACCAUGAUGGAUCCCACUGGUGCUUAACAAGUCACAAAACACCACAGUAUAGGCUGCUGCCCGCAUUCGAGCUCGUAACAAUGACAUUGAACCAACAGAGCAAUUUGCUAAAGACAUGGUGGAUUUGCCAUCACUUGAAGCCUGUAGAACAAGAUGUGCUUUCUCUCUAAAAGAGAGGCUCUGUCUCUGCCGGGUGUCGGAUAGGGGUGACAAUAUGACGUUCUCCAGUCGGUAUCAGGAGGCUGGACCAGAUUAUCCUAUUGGUCACUUCUGGCCUUGAUAUUUAUGAGGUAAAAAGUUCCAUAAUCCCAUUGUUUGCGCCCUCUGGCCCAUUCCCUUCCUCUUUGACUUGCUCUGAAAACUCUCAAUGUAGUGCUGCUGCUUGUACAUGGGGCCACCAGGUCGGUUCCUCCAUCAGUCUGUACCAUUGUUAAUGCUUCCUAGGUGUGAAAGUCUCCUCUUGUUUCCUGUCAUGACCUUCUCACAAGAGGUGGAUCCCUCAGGCCUUAGGUGCUAUGGCUCAUGAUUGUAUAAGAUGUUUACCUCUGUUAUAAUUGCACAGGGUAUGGCAUAGCUCAGGCCUCAAUGAUGCUUCCUUUCAAUCUCUGCUGCUUUCAUGUACAGGCAUGGGUGUGGGAAUUAUUCAGGAGGACUCAAGUCAUGGCUUGAUGUGCCUGGUCUCUGGGCAGAGCUGCUGUGUCUCAGAGCAAAGUUUCUUUGCCUCAGGUUCUGCUUGCCAGUGUCAGUUCAUUAGACCAUCCAAAGCGUACCCUGUUCUCUUUGCUCUUACUCUAUGUAUCCAUAUCCCCACUGAGCUGUGUUCUGGCUAGAGCUGGCUGGAACAGGCUCAGGAUGGGGUAGUUGGUUGGUUUGGAUGAAAAAUGGCUUUUUUGGACCGAAAAACAAACUCGCAGAGACAUUGUUUGUUUGGGUCAAAACUUUUCCACUUUCCAUUGGGAGGCAGAGUGGAGAAAUGGAAGCUUCACAAUGUUUCAGUCAACUUUCAAGGGUAGGUUUUUUUCUGUGCGCUUUUUCAAACCCCCAAAUCUUUAUCCAAGGUAGAAAUUCUCACUUUUGCUUUUCACCAGUCAAUCAAUUAAUACACCUUUUCCAGUCUACGCACAAUAAUUGGCAUUUUUUGGAUCAGGUCUUUUUCCAGCUUUGUGACCACAGUUGUACUUUACUUAGACUACAUCUACACUACAUGAUUAUUUCAGAAUAAAUUAUUCCGGAAGAAA